Long non-coding RNA from Rosa chinensis, 350 nucleotides. RefSeq lists it as uncharacterized. The transcript has 3 exons. NCBI's taxonomy places the organism in Eukaryota, Viridiplantae, Streptophyta, Magnoliopsida, Rosales, Rosaceae. The record is from RefSeq and is a predicted model, not a curated record.
UUAACAAAAAUUUUCUGUUAAUAUUAAGCGGCAUCAAAAUAUAUAAUGCACAAGUCAAAAGGCAAGGCAGAAAAGCAACUACCUGGAAAAACUGUGCGGGUAUUCCGGAGCAAAAGACCGACAAGGAUUGUGGAUAUUUUAUAAUGAGAUACAUGAAGGAAAUAGUGGAGGAUAAAAACUUGGACUUUUUCAGCAAGUGGGAGAGAAGAAGUAAAGCAGCAUAUUUCUAGGAGGAUAUCGAUGUGGUCAGAACUGAGUGGGCAAAGUUUGUGAUUAAAACAUAUAUGUAAGAUUUGUGUUGGUACUUCUUGGAGACCUAGUUCAAAGUUUGUGGUUAUGUUUUGGUUGGA